UCUAGACUAUAAGCUUAUUAGAGGUCCAUCCUGCCCAGUGACAACUAAGUUAAACGGCCGCGGUAUCCUGACCGUGCUAAGGUAGCAUAAUCAUUUGCCUUUUAAUUGGAGGCUAGAAUGAAUGGACACACGAGAAUAAGGCUAUCUCAUUAAUAUUUAUAUAAAUUGACCUUUAGGUGAAGAGGCCUAAAUAACAUAAAAAGACGAAAAGACCCUUUGGCGCUUUACUUAUAUAUAUCCCUAUUACAAUAAAAUAUGUAAAAUGAUAUUAAAAGUUCAGUUGGGGCGACUUAGGGUUAUAAUAAAGCACCCUUUAUCUAAAAGGAAAUAUUCCUUAAUUUUGAUCCACUUUUGUGAAUAAAGAAAAAGCCACCCUAGGGAUAACAGGCUAAUCUUCCUCGCGAGUCCAUAUUAACAGGAAGGGUUGGCACCUCGAUGUUGGCUUAAGGUCUCUCCACGGUGCAGUCGCUGUGGUAG
Molecule: ribosomal RNA, 477 nt
Filed under: Prionospio japonica
Lineage: Eukaryota; Metazoa; Annelida; Polychaeta; Spionida; Spionidae
Description: partial large subunit ribosomal RNA
Rfam family: Bacterial large subunit ribosomal RNA
Source: RNAcentral